GUUCUCGUAGUUGAAUAACAACGGUGGUUUUUCAAGUCAUAGGUCCUGGUUAGAGCCCGGGCGGGAAUU
RNAcentral lists this transfer RNA (69 nucleotides) under Citharinus congicus (Congo citharin). Its description in RNAcentral is "tRNA-Glu". It matches the Rfam family "tRNA". Rfam says of the family: Transfer RNA (tRNA) molecules are approximately 80 nucleotides in length. Their secondary structure includes four short double-helical elements and three loops (D, anti-codon, and T loops). Lineage: Eukaryota; Metazoa; Chordata; Actinopteri; Characiformes; Citharinidae. The record is from RNAcentral.